AUUGAACGCUGGCGGCAUGCCUUACACAUGCAAGUCGAACGGCAGCACGGGAGCAAUCCUGGUGGCGAGUGGCGAACGGGUGAGUAAUAUAUCGGAACGUGCCCGGUCGUGGGGAUAACGUAGCGAAAGCUACGCUAAUACCGCAUACGAUCUACGGAUGAAAGCGGGGGAUCGCAAGACCUCGCGCGAUUGGAGCGGCCGAUAUCAGAUUAGGUAGUUGGUGAGGUAAAGGGCUCACCAAGCGACGAUCUGUAG
RNAcentral lists this ribosomal RNA (255 nucleotides) under uncultured bacterium. Its description in RNAcentral is "partial 16S ribosomal RNA". It matches the Rfam family "Bacterial small subunit ribosomal RNA", at positions 30 to 286 of the family's 1533-position model. The record is from RNAcentral.